RNAcentral lists this unclassified non-coding RNA (338 nucleotides) under soil metagenome. Its description in RNAcentral is "partial contains 5.8S ribosomal RNA, internal transcribed spacer 2, and large subunit ribosomal RNA". The stretch from base 1 to 120 matches the Rfam family "5.8S ribosomal RNA", at positions 35 to 154 of the family's 154-position model. The record is from RNAcentral.
GAUGAAGAACGUAGUGAAAUGCGAUAAGUAAUGUGAAUUGCAGAAUUCAGUGAAUCAUCGAAUCUUUGAACGCACAUUGCGCCCGCCAGCAUUCUGGCGGGCAUGCCUGUUCGAGCGUCAUUUCAACCCUCAAGCUCUGCUUGGUGUUGGGGCCCUACGGUUGACGUAGGCCCUUAAAGGUAGUGGCGGACCCUCUCGGAGCCUCCUUUGCGUAGUAACUAACGUCUCGCAUUGGGAUUCGGAGGGACUCUUGCCGUAAAACCCCCAAAUUUUCUAAUGGUUGACCUCGGAUCAGGUAGGAAUACCCGCUGAACUUAAGCAUAUCAAUAAGCGGAGGA